Molecule: ribosomal RNA, 253 nt
Filed under: uncultured bacterium
Lineage: Bacteria
Description: partial 16S ribosomal RNA
Rfam family: Bacterial small subunit ribosomal RNA
Source: RNAcentral
UACGUAGGGGGCUAGCGUUGUCCGGAUUUAUUGGGCGUAAAGCGCGCGUAGGUGGCCUCGUAAGUCCGCUGUGAAAGUCAAAGGCUCAACCUUUGAAAGCCGGUGGAUACUGUGAGGCUAGAGUACGGAAGAGGCGAGUGGAAUUCCUGGUGUAGCGGUGAUAUGCGUAGAUAUCGGGAGGAACACCUGUGGCGAAGGCGGUUCUCUGGGCCUGUACUGACGCUGAGGAACGAAAGCGUGGGGAGCGAACAGG